CAGUCGCCGCGGUAAAACGUAGGUGGCAAGCGCUGUCCGGAAUUAUUGGGCGUAAAGCGCGCGCAGGUGGUUUAAUAAGUCUGAUGUGAAAGCCCACGGCUCAACCGUGGAGGGUCAUUGGAAACUGGGAAACUUGAGUGCAGAAGAGGAGAGUGGAAUUCCACGUGUAGCGGUGAAAUGCGUAGAGAUGUGGAGGAACACCAGUGGCGAAGGCGACUCUCUGGUCUGUAACUGACGCUGAGGAGCGAAAGCGUGGGGAGCGAACAGGAUUAGAUACCCCAGUAGUCCCUGUCUCUUAUAC
Molecule: ribosomal RNA, 301 nt
Filed under: uncultured bacterium
Lineage: Bacteria
Description: partial 16S ribosomal RNA
Rfam family: Bacterial small subunit ribosomal RNA
Source: RNAcentral